UGCCAGCCGCCGCGGUAAUACGAAGGGGGCUAGCGUUGUUCGGAUUUACUGGGCGUAAAGCGCACGUAGGCGGAUCGUUAAGUGAGGGGUGAAAUCCCAGGGCUCAACCCUGGAACUGCCUCUCAUACUGGCGAUCUCGAGUUCGAGAGAGGUGAGUGGAAUUCCGAGUGUAGAGGUGAAAUUCGUAGAUAUUCGGAGGAACACCAGUGGCGAAGGCGGCUUUCUGGACCGAUACUGACGCUGAGACGCGAAAGCGUGGGGAGCAAACGGGAUUAGAUA
This 279-nucleotide ribosomal RNA is filed under the name uncultured bacterium. RNAcentral describes it as "partial 16S ribosomal RNA". It matches the Rfam family "Bacterial small subunit ribosomal RNA", at positions 506 to 784 of the family's 1533-position model. The record is from RNAcentral.